GCCUAGGAAACUUGGACGGAACAGU
Molecule: non-coding RNA, 25 nt
Filed under: Cricetulus griseus (Chinese hamster)
Lineage: Eukaryota; Metazoa; Chordata; Mammalia; Rodentia; Cricetidae
Source: RNAcentral